Molecule: ribosomal RNA, 276 nt
Filed under: uncultured prokaryote
Description: partial 16S ribosomal RNA
Rfam family: Bacterial small subunit ribosomal RNA
Source: RNAcentral
UACGUAGGGGCAAGCGUUAUCCGGAAUUAUUGGGCGUAAAGAGUGCGUAGGUGGUUACCUAAGCGCAAGGUUUAAUCUUGAGGCUCAACCUCAUUCUGCCUUGCGAACUGGGCUACUUGAGUGCAGGAGGGGAAAGCGGAAUUCCUAGUGUAGCGGUGAAAUGCGUAGAUAUUAGGAAGAACACCGGUGGCGAAGGCGGCUUUCUGGACUGUAACUGACACUGAGGCACGAAAGCGUGGGGAGCAAACAGGAUUAGAUACCCCGGUAGUCCCUGAG